This 253-nucleotide ribosomal RNA is filed under the name uncultured bacterium. Its description in RNAcentral is "partial 16S ribosomal RNA". It matches the Rfam family "Bacterial small subunit ribosomal RNA", at positions 524 to 776 of the family's 1533-position model. The record is from RNAcentral.
UACGUAGGGUGCGAGCGUUAAUCGGAAUUACUGGGCGUAAAGCGUGCGCAGGCGGUGAUGUAAGACCGAUGUGAAAUCCCCGGGCUUAACCUGGGAACUGCAUUGGUGACUGCAUUGCUCGAGUAUGGCAGAGGGGGGUGGAAUUCCACGUGUAGCAGUGAAAUGCGUAGAGAUGUGGAGGAACACCGAUGGCGAAGGCAGCUCGCUGGGACGGUACUGACGCUGAGACGCGAAAGCGUGGGGAGCAAACAGG